RNAcentral lists this ribosomal RNA (484 nucleotides) under uncultured bacterium. RNAcentral describes it as "partial 16S ribosomal RNA". It matches the Rfam family "Bacterial small subunit ribosomal RNA", at positions 30 to 507 of the family's 1533-position model. The record is from RNAcentral.
AUUGAACGCUGGCGGCAGGCCUAACACAUGCAAGUCGAGCGGAUGAAGGGAGCUUGCUCCUGGAUUCAGCGGCGGACGGGUGAGUAAUGCCUAGGAAUCUGCCUGGUAGUGGGGGAUAACGUCCGGAAACGGGCGCUAAUACCGCAUACGUCCUGAGGGAGAAAGUGGGGGAUCUUCGGACCUCACGCUAUCAGAUGAGCCUAGGUCGGAUUAGCUAGUUGGUGGGGUAAAGGCCUACCAAGGCGACGAUCCGUAACUGGUCUGAGAGGAUGAUCAGUCACACUGGAACUGAGACACGGCCCAGACUCCUACGGGAGGCAGCAGUGGGGAGUAUUGGACAAUGGGCGAAAGCCUGAUCCAGCCAUGCCGCGUGUGUGAAGAAGGUCUUCGGAUUGUAAAGCACUUUAAGUUGGGAGGAAGGGCAGUAAGUUAAUACCUUGCUGUUUUGACGUUACCAACAGAAUAAGCACCGGCUAACUUUGUG